GAUGAACGCUAGCGGGAGGCCUAACACAUGCAAGCCGAGCGGUAUUUGUUCUUCGGAACAGCGAGAGCGGCGCACGGGUGCGGAACACGUGUGCAACCUGCCUUUAUCUGGGGGAUAGCCUUUCGAAAGGAAGAUUAAUACCCCAUAAUAUAUUGAGUGGCAUCAUUUGAUAUUGAAAACUCCGGUGGAUAGAGAUGGGCACGCGCAAGAUUAGAUAGUUGGUGAGGUAACGGCUCACCAAGUCAAUGAUCUUUAGGGGGCCUGAGAGGGUGAUCCCCACACUGGUACUGAGACACGGACCAGACUCCUACGGGAGGCAGCAGUGAGGAAUAUUGGACAAUGGGUUAGCGCCUGAUCCAGCCAUCCCGCGUGAAGGACGACGGCCCUAUGGGUUGUAAACUUCUUUUGUAUAGGGAUAAACCUACUCUCGUGAGAGUAGCUGAAGGUACUAUACGAAUAAGCACCGGCUAACUCCGUG
RNAcentral lists this ribosomal RNA (478 nucleotides) under uncultured bacterium. Its description in RNAcentral is "partial 16S ribosomal RNA". It matches the Rfam family "Bacterial small subunit ribosomal RNA", at positions 28 to 507 of the family's 1533-position model. The record is from RNAcentral.